GUGCUGUGAGCUCGAUGAGUAGGGCGGGACACGUGGUAUCCUGUCUGAAUAUGGGGGGACCAUCCUCCAAGGCUAAAUACUCCUGACUGACCGAUAGUGAACCAGUACCGUGAGGGAAAGGCGAAAAGAACCCCGGCGAGGGGAGUGAAAAAGAACCUGAAACCGUGUACGUACAAGCAGUGGGAGCCCCACCACCAAAGCAUUCUCUGGUGUUGAAGGCCCUGCAAAGCAGCAUCGCGGUGGCGGAGCGUCGUUUGCGACGCCCAACACACAAAACAAGCGGUGAGUGCUUUGGGGUGGGGUGACUGCGUACCUUUUGUAUAAUGGGUCAGCGACUUAUAUUCUGUAGCAAGGUUAACCGAAUAGGGGAGCCGGAGGGAAACCGAGUCUUAAUUGGGCGUUAAGUUGCAGGGUAUAGACCCGAAACCCGGUGAUCUAGCCAUGGGCAGGUUGAAGGUUGGGUAACACUAACUGGAGGACCGAACCGACUAAUGUUGAAAAAUUAGCGGAUGACCUGUGGCUGGGGGUGAAAGGCCAAUCAAACCGGGAGAUAGCUGGUUCUCCCCGAAAGCUAUUUAGGUAGCGCCUCGUGAAUUCAUCUCCGGGGGUAGAGCACUGUUUCGGCUAGGGGGCCAUCCCGGCUUACCAACCCGAUGCAAACUGCGAAUACCGGAGAAUGUUAUCACGGGAGACACACGGCGGGUGCUAACGUCCGUCGUGAAGAGGGAAACAACCCAGACCGCCAGCUAAGGUCCCAAAGUCAUGGUUAAGUGGGAAACGAUGUGGGAAGGCCCAGACAGCCAGGAUGUUGGCUUAGAAGCAGCCAUCAUUUAAAGAAAGCGUAAUAGCUCACUGGUCGAGUCGGCCUGCGCGGAAGAUGUAACGGGGCUAAACCAU
This 897-nucleotide ribosomal RNA is filed under the name Salmonella enterica subsp. enterica serovar Infantis. Its description in RNAcentral is "partial 23S ribosomal RNA". It matches the Rfam family "Bacterial large subunit ribosomal RNA", at positions 394 to 1190 of the family's 2925-position model. Lineage: Bacteria; Pseudomonadati; Pseudomonadota; Gammaproteobacteria; Enterobacterales; Enterobacteriaceae. The record is from RNAcentral. RNAcentral also lists the same sequence under 1 other name.